CAGACUACACUUGUGUAUCCCACGGUGUUUUCUAAAUUUAAAGCACCAGUGUAUCCCACGGUGCAUCUUUACAUUUUCAUAUACAUGUAUAUCUAUCUUCACAUAUAUCUAUCUUCAUAUAUAUCUAUCUAUCUACCUGGUUGCCAUAUUAUCUUCGGGUAACCGACCAUAGAUCUAUCUACAUAUACAUGGUCUAUGGUCUAUCUAUCUAUAUAUAUAUAUUAUAUAUUAUAUGAAUCUAUCAUAUUAUGAAUAAAAG
Molecule: long non-coding RNA, 259 nt
Filed under: Mytilus galloprovincialis (Mediterranean mussel)
Lineage: Eukaryota; Metazoa; Mollusca; Bivalvia; Mytilida; Mytilidae
Source: RNAcentral